CAAAAGCUUGGUCCUGACUUUACUGUCAACUUUGAUUAAAUUUAUACAUGCAAGUCUCCGCACCCCUGUGAGAAUGCCCUACCUAUCCCCACCCGGAGAAGAGGAGCCGGCAUCAGGAGAAACCCCGGGUUGACCCACGACGCCUUGCUUAGCCACACCCUCAAGGGAAUCCAGCAGUAAUAAAUAUUAAGAAAUAAGUGCAAACUUGACUUAGUUACUAUCAAGUAGGGCUGGUAAACCUCGUGCCAGCCACCGCGGUUAUACGAGGGGCCCAAGUUGACGAAAACCGGCGUAAAGCGUGGUUAAUGAUACACACACUAAAGCCAAAUACCCUCCUGGCUGUUAUACGCACCCGAGAGUAAGAGGAACUUUCACGAAAGUAGCUUUAAUAAACAUGACCCCACGAGAGCUAGGGAACAAACCGGGAUUAGAUACCCCAUUAUGCCUAGCUGUAAACAUAAGUGACACUUCACCCCGUCAUUCGCCCGGGAACAACGAGCUUUAGCUAAAACCCAAAGGACUUGGCGGUGCUUUAGACCCCCCUAGAGGAGCCUGUUCUAGAAUCGAUUCUCCCCGUUCAACCUCACCCCCUCUUGUUUGUCCCGCCUAUAUACCGCCGUCGUCAGCUUACCCCGUGAGGGUCAAAUAGUAAGCACAAUUGGCAUAGCCCAAAAAGUCAGGUCAAGGUGUAGCGUAUGAGGUGGGAAGAAAUGGGCUACAUUUGCUGAUUCAGCAAACACGGAUGUUGCACUGAAAUAAGCAUCUGAAGGAGGAUUUAGUAGUAAGGGGGAAGCAGCGAGCCCCCCUGAAACCGGCCCUGAAGCGCGCACACACCGCCCGUCACUCUCCCCGAUGAACCCAAUACAAUAAAUAAUGAAAUCGCAAACACUAUAGGGGAGAUAAGUCGUAACAUGGUAAGUGUACCGGAAGGUGUGCUUGGAUCAAACCC
Molecule: non-coding RNA, 949 nt
Filed under: Gobius cruentatus (red-mouthed goby)
Lineage: Eukaryota; Metazoa; Chordata; Actinopteri; Gobiiformes; Gobiidae
Description: partial 12S ribosomal RNA
Rfam family: Bacterial small subunit ribosomal RNA
Source: RNAcentral